Molecule: non-coding RNA, 119 nt
Filed under: Petrocella atlantisensis
Lineage: Bacteria; Bacillati; Bacillota; Clostridia; Lachnospirales; Vallitaleaceae
Description: Molybdenum/Tungsten riboswitch aptamer (Moco RNA motif)
Rfam family: Molybdenum/Tungsten riboswitch aptamer (Moco RNA motif)
Source: Rfam by way of RNAcentral
AAAGAAGCCAAAAUCCGAGUCAAUGGUUCUAAAGCUAUAGCCAUGAACCAUUGACCAAAGGGUAGGACGGGAAACUGUACUGCCUCCCAUUCUUGGAAAGGAUUUGGAAAUAAAUGUAA